AUAGCAGUAUUUCAAUUGGAAGAAUUCGUGAUCUGGAGUCAUGAGGUUGUCAGUUCGAGUCUGGCCUGCUAUA
This 73-nucleotide transfer RNA is filed under the name Chitinophagaceae bacterium. RNAcentral describes it as "tRNA-Pro". It matches the Rfam family "tRNA". From Rfam's summary of the family: Transfer RNA (tRNA) molecules are approximately 80 nucleotides in length. Their secondary structure includes four short double-helical elements and three loops (D, anti-codon, and T loops). Further hydrogen bonds mediate the characteristic L-shaped molecular structure. tRNAs have two regions of fundamental functional importance: the anti-codon, which is responsible for specific mRNA codon recognition, and the 3' end, to which the tRNAs corresponding amino acid is attached (by aminoacyl-tRNA synthetases). tRNAs cope with the degeneracy of the genetic code in two manners: having more than one tRNA (with a specific anti-codon) for a particular amino acid; and 'wobble' base-pairing, i.e. permitting non-standard base-pairing at the 3rd anti-codon position. The record is from RNAcentral. RNAcentral also lists the same sequence under 1 other name. Lineage: Bacteria; Pseudomonadati; Bacteroidota; Chitinophagia; Chitinophagales; Chitinophagaceae.